RNAcentral lists this ribosomal RNA (254 nucleotides) under uncultured bacterium. Its description in RNAcentral is "partial 16S ribosomal RNA". It matches the Rfam family "Bacterial small subunit ribosomal RNA", at positions 524 to 776 of the family's 1533-position model. The record is from RNAcentral.
UACGGGGGGGGGCAAGCGUUGUUCGGAAUUACUGGGCGUAAAGGGCUCGUAGGCGGCCAACUAAGUCGGACGUGAAAUCCCUCGGCUUAACCUGGGAACUGCGUCUGAUACUGGAGGGCUUGAGUAUGGGAGAGGGAUGUAGAAUUCCAGGUGUAGCGGUGAAAUGCGUAGAUAUUGGGAGGAACACCAGUGGCGAAGGCGGCUCACUGGACCGGAACUGACGCUGAGGCGCGAAAGCGUGGGGAGCAAACGGG